AACGAACGCUGGCGGCAGGCUUAACACAUGCAAGUCGAACGCUCCGCAAGGAGAGUGGCAGACGGGUGAGUAACGCGUGGGAACGUGCCCUUUGGUUCGGAACAACUUCGGGAAACUGGAGCUAAUACCGAAUGUGCCCUUCGGGGGAAAGAUUUAUCGCCAAAGGAUCGGCCCGCGUCAGAUUAGCUAGUUGGUGGGGUAAUGGCCUACCAAGGCGACGAUCUGUAGCUGGUCUGAGAGGAUGAUCAGCCACACUGGGACUGAGACACGGCCCAGACUCCUACGGGAGGCAGCAGUGGGGAAUCUUGGACAAUGGGCGCAAGCCUGAUCCAGCCAUGCCGCGUGAAUGAUGAAGGCCUUAGGGUUGUAAAAAUUCUUUCGUCGGGGACGAUAAUGACGGUACCCGAAGAAGAAGCUCCGGCUAACUUCGUGCCAGCAGCCGCGGUAAU
Molecule: ribosomal RNA, 449 nt
Filed under: uncultured bacterium
Lineage: Bacteria
Description: bacterial SSU rRNA
Rfam family: Bacterial small subunit ribosomal RNA
Source: RNAcentral